Molecule: ribosomal RNA, 244 nt
Filed under: uncultured bacterium
Lineage: Bacteria
Description: partial 16S ribosomal RNA
Rfam family: Bacterial small subunit ribosomal RNA
Source: RNAcentral
UGCCCUAGCGGCGAACGGGUGAGUAACACGUGGGCAACCUGCCCCUAGCACUGGGAUAACUCCGGGAAACCGGGGCUAAUACCGGAUAUGACCUUUGAGGGCAUCCUCUUUGGUGUAAAGGAUUCUGGCUAGGGAUGGGCCCGCGGCCUAUCAGCUUGUUGGUGGGGUAACGGCCUACCAAGGCGACGACGGGUAGCCGGCCUGAGAGGGCGACCGGCCACACUGGGACUGAGACACGGCCCAG